GACGAACGCUGGCGGCGUGCCUAAUACAUGCAAGUAGGACGCAGUUGCGAACGGGUGAGUAACGCGUAGGUAACUACCUAUUAGAGGGGGAUAACUAUUGGAAACGAUAGCUAAUACCGCAUACUAGUAGAUGGACCUGCUUUUUAUUAGCGAGUAGGUAGGGUAAUGGCCUACCUAGGCAACGAUCAAUAGCCGACCUGGGAGGGGGAACGGCCCCACGGGGACUGCGACACGGCCCGAACUCCUACGGGAGUCAGCAGUAGGGAAGCUUCGGCAAUGGGGGGAACCCUGACCGAGCAACGCCGCGUGAGUGAAGAAGGUUUUAGGAUCGGAAAGCUCUGUUGUUAAGGAAGCGGUACUUAACCAGAAAGGGACGGCUAACUACGUGCCAGCAGCCGCGGUAAUAC
RNAcentral lists this ribosomal RNA (407 nucleotides) under uncultured bacterium. RNAcentral's name for it is "partial 16S ribosomal RNA". It matches the Rfam family "Bacterial small subunit ribosomal RNA", at positions 28 to 526 of the family's 1533-position model. The record is from RNAcentral.